This 253-nucleotide ribosomal RNA is filed under the name uncultured bacterium. RNAcentral's name for it is "partial 16S ribosomal RNA". It matches the Rfam family "Bacterial small subunit ribosomal RNA", at positions 524 to 776 of the family's 1533-position model. The record is from RNAcentral.
UACGAAGGGGGCUAGCGUUGUUCGGAAUCACUGGGCGUAAAGCGCACGUAGGCGGAUCUUUAAGUCAGGGGUGAAAUCCCGAGGCUCAACCUCGGAACUGCCUUUGAUACUGGCGAUCUUGAGUCCGGGAGAGGUGAGUGGAACUGCGAGUGUAGAGGUGAAAUUCGUAGAUAUUCGCAAGAACACCAGUGGCGAAGGCGGCUCACUGGCCCGGUACUGACGCUGAGGUGCGAAAGCGUGGGGAGCAAACAGG